CUAUUCCUACGGGGCGCAGCAGUGGGGGAUAUUGCACAAUGGGGGGAAACCCUGAUGCAGCGACGCCGCGUGGGUGAAGAAGCGCCUCGGCGCGUAAAGCCCUGUCAGCAGGGAAGAAAAUGACGGUACCUGAAGAAGAAGCCCCGGCUAACUACGUGCCAGCAGCCGCGGUAAUACGUAGGGGGCAAGCGUUAUUCGGAUUUACUGGGUGUAAAGGGGGCGCAGACGGCGAUGCAAGCCAGGAGUGAAAGCCCGGGGCCCAACCCCGGGACUGCUCUUGGAACUGCGGGGCUGGAGGGCAGGAG
RNAcentral lists this ribosomal RNA (305 nucleotides) under uncultured bacterium. RNAcentral's name for it is "bacterial SSU rRNA". It matches the Rfam family "Bacterial small subunit ribosomal RNA", at positions 333 to 654 of the family's 1533-position model. The record is from RNAcentral.